Molecule: non-coding RNA, 124 nt
Organism: Triticum aestivum (bread wheat)
Lineage: Eukaryota; Viridiplantae; Streptophyta; Magnoliopsida; Poales; Poaceae
Source: Rfam
AAUAUUCUCCCUCCAUUCGGAAUUAUUUGUCAUGGAAAUUGAUGUAUCUAAACAUAUUUAGUUUGAGAUACAUCUAUUUUUAUUUAUUUUUGCGACAAGUAUUUCCGGACGAAGGGAGUAUUUG